AACGGGGAGCAGAAACCGGCCUGGGUCAGCCAGUGGACUGGUUGGAAGCAGAGAACUGAAAGAAAACCAACACCCUAGUGAGGCCAAGGGAGAUUUUAAAGGCUGAAGCAGAAGGAUCUCAAGUUCAAGCCAGAUUCCUUAGGGAGCAUUUGCCUCCAUAAAAUAACCCUAACUGUUGUCAAGUGACAGUGAACUCCAGUGACCAUCAGACAAGGGUAAGCGUAGUCCUCACCCCUCAUCAAGGAAACUUCCCUUGGCAACUGACAUCGAUCAUUACAGAAAACUGCAACCAAUCAAAUUGCAGUUGUACAGCCCAAUCCCAGCAGAUACAGCUACAAAACAACUCUUGCAACUAAGCUCAGGGAUCGUUGUGAAGGAGAGAACGGGAAGAUUGUAAGAUCCAGGGAAUCAAGGAAUUUGCUAUGAGACAGUGUCUCCCAGAAGCUGCACAUCCAUGAAGUCUCUCCAAUAUAGCUGCCUAAAUGUGACCUGAGUAAUGACACCAGUCGCCAUGUUAACACGGAUGAGGGAAAGCCAGGGAGGCUACACCCCCACCUGCAGCCAACUAAGAAAUGCUGGGAUUGGGAAAAAUUGUCUUCCCCUAGGAAGAGCACUGCAGUUGUUAUCCCAUACCACGUGGUCAGCACUGAAAACAUAUAUAUACAACUAAUAUCAUACAGGCUGAGCCAAUUGCAUUUACACAUUUAGGAAUAUACAUAUACACUUUCAUGUGUGUAAUAACAACCAAAUUUUGUUUUGUUUUGUUUUUAAAAAGCUCAUGAAUUUGAAAGAAAACAAUGGGAAGGAUAUAUGAGAGGGUUUGGAGAGAGGAAAGGGAAGGGGGAAAUGAUGUAAUUAUAUUAUAAUCUCAAAAAAAAAAAAAAAAAACGUGGGCUGGUGAGAUGGCUCAACGGGUAAAAGCACCAACUGCUCUUCUGAAGGUCAUGAGUUCAGAUCCCAGCAAACCAUAUAGUGGCUCACAACCACCCGUAACAAGAUCUGACGCCCUCUUCUGGUGUGUCUGAAGACAGCCACAGUGUAUUUACAUGUAAUAAAUAAAUAAAUCUUUUUAAAAAAGUAACAUGAAAUAACACAAACAGCUCUCAUCAAGAAGAUGAGAAGGGCCUCAAAGCUGAGAGUCAACCCAGGGAUUCUGGGUGGGAUUUUAAAAAUUUACUUAUAUGUAGUUUUUACAGUCCAGCCUGUCUCCCCCUUCCCCCAUACCUGAUCCUGCCCUGCUUUCCCCUCCUCCUCCCCUCUCCCACCCAGCUCCAUCCCUCCCUCUGCCUCCCAUGAUUAUUUUCUUCUCCCUUUCUAAGUGGGAUUGAAGCCUCCUCACUAGAGCCCUUCUGCUUGUUAACCUUCUUGCAGUCUGUGGGAUGUAGCCUAGAUGUUCUGUACUUUUGGGCUAAUAUCCACUUAUAGUGAGUAGCUACCAUACGUGUACUUUUGGGUCUGGGUUACCUCACUCAGGAUGAUAUUUUCUGCUUCCAUCCAUUUGCCUGCAAAAGUCAUGAUGUCCUUGUUUUUAAUAGCUGAGUGGUAUUCCAUUGUGUAAAUGAACCACAUUUUCUGUAUCCAUUCUUCAGUUGAAGGACAUCUGGGUUGUUUACAGCUUCUGGCUAUUGCAAAUAAGGCUGCUAUGAACAUAGUGGAGCAAGUGUCCUUGUGGUAUGGUGGGCAUCUUUUGGGUAUAUGGCUGUACUGGCUAGUUUUGUGUCAACUUGACACAGCUGGAGUUAUCACAGAAAAAGGAGCUUCAGUUGAGGAAAUGCCUCCAUGAGAUCCAACUGUAAGGCAUUUUCUCAAUUAGUGAUCAAGGGAGAAAGGGCCCUUGUGGGUGGGACGAUCUCUGGGCUGGUAAUCUUGGUUCUAUAAGAGAGCAGGCUGAGCAAGCCAGGGGAAGUCAGCCAGUAAGGAACAUCCCUCCAAUGGCUUCUGCAUCAGCUCCUGCUUCCUGACCUGCUUGAGUUCCAGUCCUGACUUCCUUGGUGAUGAACAGCAGUAUGGAAAUGUAAACUGAAUAAACCCUUUCCCCCCCAAUUUGCUUCUUGGCCAAGAUGUUUGUGCAGGAAUAGAAAUCCUGACUAAGACAAUGGCCAAGAGUGGUAUAGCUGGGUCUUCAUGUAGAACUACUUCCAACUUUCUGAGUAACCUCCAGAUUGAUUUCCAGAGUGGUUGUACCAGCUUGCAAUCCGACCAGCAAAGGAAGAGCGUUCCUCCUUCACAUCCUCGCCAGCAUGUGCUGUCACUUGAGUUUUUGAUCUUAGCCAUUCUGAAGUUUUCCAGUUUCAUGAAGUCCCAUUUAUCAAUUCUUGAUCUUAGAGCCUGAGCCAUUGGAGUUCUGAUCAGGAAAUGUUCCCUUGUGCCAAGGAGUUCAAGGCUCUUUCCCACCUUUUCUUCUAUUGGAUUCAGUGUAUCUGGUUUUGUGUUGAGGUCCUUGAUCCACUUGUGUUGGGAGCCGCGCCCACAUUCGCCGUUACAAGAUGGCGCUGACAUCCUGUGUUCUAAGUGGUAAACAAAUAAUCUGCGCAUGUGCCAAGGGUUUUUAUGACUACUUGUGCUCUGCCUUCCCCGUGACGUCAACUCGGCCGAUGGGCUGCAGCCAAUCAGGGAGUGACACGUCCUAGGCGAAAUAUAACUCUCCUAAAAAAGGGACGGGGUUUCGUUUUCUCUCUCUCUUGCUUCUUGCACUCCUGCUCCUGAAGAUGUAAGCAAUAAAGUUUUGCCGCAGAAGAUUUUGGUCUGUGGUGUUCUUCCUGGCCGGUCGUGAGAACGCGUCUAAUAACAAUUGGUGCCGAAUUCCGGGACGAGAAAAAACUCGGGACUGGCGCAAGGAAGAUCCCUCAUUCCAGAACCAGAACUGCGGGUCGCGGUAAUAAAGGUUCCCGUAAAGCAGACUGUUAAGAAGGAUUCAACUGUAUGAAUUCAGAACUUUUCAGCUGGGGAACGAGAGUACCAGUGAGUACAGCUUUACGAGGUAAGUCUGGUCUUGAACUUUCUAAGGAAAUUCAAGACAGUCUAUCAGAAGUAAAGUGGAAUAUGUUUGGCCUUGAAUUUUUUUCUGGUGUUAGGAGCCCUUUUGUUCCUUUUCACAUGUUAUCAAGUGAUUAAGAUAGGGCUGAAAAUUCUAGAGGAAAUUCAGGACAAGCUAUCAGAAGUAAAGCGGGGAGAGAGAGUAGGAACAAAGAGGAAAUAUGGUACACAAAAUAAGUAUACAGGCCUUUCCAAGGGUCUUGAACCCGAGGAAAAGUUAAGGUUAGGUAGGAAUACCUGGAGAGAGAUUAGAAGAAAAAGAGGAAAAAGGGAAAAGAAGAAAGAUCAAUUAGCGGAGGUCUCUAGGAAAAGGAGCCUGUGCUCAUCGCUGGAUGGGCUCGGGGAGCCAGCUCUUAGUAGCUCUGAAGCAGAUGAAGAAUUCUCCUCUGAAGAAACAGACUGGGAGGAAGAAGCAGCUCAUUAUGAGAAAAAAGGGUACCAGCCAGGUAAAGUGCUAGCUAAUCAGUUAAGGAAGCCAAAAGCGGCUGGCGAAGGCCAGUUUGCUGAUUGGCCUCAGGGCAGUCGGCUUCAAGGUCCGCCCUAUGUGGAGUCCCCGCCCUGCGUAGUGCGUCAGCCCUGCGCAGAGAGGCAGUGCGCAGACUCAUUCAUUCCCAGAGAGGAACAAAGGAAAAUACAAAAGGCAUAUCCUUUUCUACUUAAAACUUUAAGUCAGUGGGGUUUACAGAUAGCCACAGAAAAGGUCCAAAUUUCUGAUACAGGACAAUUCUUGGGCUCUGUGGUGUCCCCAGAUAAGAUUGUGCCCCAAAAGGUAGAGAGAAGAAGAGAUCACCUCCAUACCUUAAAUGAUUUUCAAAAGCUGUUGGGAGAUAUUAAUUGGCUCAGACCUUUUUUAAAGAUUCCUUCCGCUGAGUUAAGGCCUUUGUUUGGUAUUUUAGAAGGAGAUCCUCAUAUCUCCUCCCCUAGGACUCUUACUCUAGCUGCUAACCAGGCCUUACAAAAGGUGGAAAAAGCCUUACAGAAUGCACAAUUACAACGUAUUGAGGAUUCGCAGCCUUUCAGUUUGUGUGUCUUUAAGACAGCACAAUUGCCAACCGCAGUUUUGUGGCAGAAUGGGCCAUUGUUGUGGAUCCAUCCAAACGUAUCCCCAGCUAAAAUAAUAGAUUGGUAUCCUGAUGCAAUUGCACAGCUUGCCCUUAAAGGCCUAAAAGCAGCAAUCACCCACUUUGGGCAAAGUCCAUAUCUUUUAAUUGUACCUUAUACCGCUGCACAGGUUCAAACCUUGGCAGCCACAUCUAAUGAUUGGGCAGUUUUAGUUACCUCCUUUUCAGGAAAAAUAGAUAACCAUUAUCCAAAACAUCCAAUCUUACAGUUUGCCCAAAAUCAAUCUGUUGUUUUUCCACAAAUAACAGUAAGAAACCCACUUAAAAAUGGGAUUGUGGUAUAUACUGAUGGAUCAAAAACUGGCAUAGGUGCCUAUGUGGCUAAUGGUAAAGUGGUAUCCAAACAAUAUAAUGAAAAUUCACCUCAAGUGGUAAAAUGUUUAGUGGUUUUAGAAGUUUUAAAAACCUUUUUAGAACCCCUUAAUAUUGUGUCAGAUUCCUGUUAUGUGGUUAAUGCAGUAAAUCUUUUAGAAGUGGCUGGAGUGAUUAAGCCUUCCAGUAGAGUUGCCAAUAUUUUUCAGCAAAUACAAUUAGUUUUGUUAUCUAGAAGAUUUCCUGUUUAUAUUACUCAUGUUAGAGCCCAUUCAGGCCUACCUGGCCCCAUGGCUCUGGGAAAUGAUUUGGCAGAUAAGGCCACUAAAGUGGUGGCUGCUGCCCUAUCAUCCCCGGUAGAGGCUGCAAGAAAUUUUCAUAACAAUUUUCAUGUGACGGCUGAAACAUUACGCAGUCGUUUCUCCUUGACAAGAAAAGAAGCCCGUGACAUUGUUACUCAAUGUCAAAGCUGCUGUGAGUUCUUGCCAGUUCCUCAUGUGGGAAUUAACCCACGCGGUAUUCGACCUCUACAGGUCUGGCAAAUGGAUGUUACACAUGUUUCUUCCUUUGGAAAACUUCAAUAUCUCCAUGUGUCCAUUGACACAUGUUCUGGCAUCAUGUUUGCUUCUCCGUUAACCGGAGAAAAAGCCUCACAUGUGAUUCAACAUUGUCUUGAGGCAUGGAGUGCUUGGGGGAAACCCAGACUCCUUAAGACUGAUAAUGGACCAGCUUAUACGUCUCAAAAAUUCCAGCAGUUCUGCCGUCAGAUGGACGUGACCCACCUGACUGGACUUCCAUACAACCCUCAAGGACAGGGUAUUGUUGAGCGUGCGCAUCGCACCCUCAAAGCCUAUCUUAUAAAACAGAAGAGGGGAAUUGAAGAGAUUUUACCCCGAGCACCAAGAGUGUCGGUGUCUUUGGCACUCUUUACACUCAAUUUUUUAAAUAUUGAUGCUCAUGGCCAUACUGCGGCUGAACGUCAUUGUUCAGAGCCAGAUAGGCCCAAUGAGAUGGUUAAAUGGAAAAAUGUCCUUGAUAAUAAAUGGUAUGGCCCGGAUCCUAUUUUGAUAAGAUCCAGGGGAGCUAUCUGUGUUUUCCCACAGAAUGAAGACAACCCAUUUUGGAUACCAGAAAGACUCACCCGAAAAAUCCAGACUGACCAAGGGAAUACUGAUGUCCAUCGUCUUGGUGAUGUCCAGGGCGUCAAUAAUAAAGAGAGAGCAGCGUUGGGGGAUAAUGUCGACAUUUCCACUCCCAAUGACGGUGAUGUAUAAUGCUCAAGUAUUCUCCUGCCUUUUUACACUAACUAGGAACUGGGUUUAGCCUUGAUUCAGACAGCCUUGGCUCUGUCUGGACAGGUCCAGACAACUGACACCAUUAACACUUUGUCAGCCUCAGUGACUACAGUCAUAGAUGAACAGGCCUCAGCUAAUGUCAAGAUACAGAGAGGUCUCAUGCUGGUUAAUCAACUCAUAGAUCUUGUCCAGAUACAACUAGAUGUAUUAUGACAAAUAACUCAGCAGGGAUGUGAACAAAAGUUUCCGGGAUUGUGUGUUAUUUCCAUUCAGUAUGUUAAAUUUACUAGGGCAGCUAAUUUGUCAAAAAGUCUUUUUCAGUAUAUGUUACAGAAUUGGAUGGCUGAAUUUGAACAGAUCCUUCGGGAAUUGAGACUUCAGGUCAACUCCACGCGCUUGGACCUGUCCCUGACCAAAGGAUUACCCAAUUGGAUCUCCUCAGCAUUUUCUUUCUUUAAAAAAUGGGUGGGAUUAAUAUUAUUUGGAGAUACACUUUGCUGUGGAUUAGUGUUGCUUCUUUGAUUGGUCUGUAAGCUUAAGGCCCAAACUAGGAGAGACAAGGUGGUUAUUGCCCAGGCGCUUGCAGGACUAGAACAUGGAGCUCCCCCUGAUAUAUGGUUAUCUAUGCUUAGGCAAUAGGUCGCUGGCCACUCAGCUCUUACAUCUCACGAGGCUAGACUCAUUGCACGGGAUAGAGUGAGUGUGCUUCAGCAGCCCGAGAGAGUUGCACGGCUAAGCACUGCAAUAGAAAGGCUCUGCGGCAUAUAUGAGCCUAUUCUAGGGAGACAUGUCAUCUUUCAAGAAGGUUGAGUGUCCAAGUGUCCUUCUCUCCAGGCAAAACGACACGGGAGCAGGUCAGGGUUGCUCUGGGUAAAAGCCUGUGAGCCUAAGAGCUAAUCCUGUACAUGGCUCCUUUACCUACACACUGGGGAUUUGACCUCUAUCUCCACUCUCAUUAAUAUGGGUGGCCUAUUUGCUCUUAUUAAAAGGAAAGGGGGAGAUGUUGGGAGCCGCGCCCACAUUCGCCGUUACAAGAUGGCGCUGACAUCCUGUGUUCUAAGUGGUAAACAAAUAAUCUGCGCAUGUGCCAAGGGUUUUUAUGACUACUUGUGCUCUGCCUUCCCCGUGACGUCAACUCGGCCGAUGGGCUGCAGCCAAUCAGGGAGUGACACGUCCUAGGCGAAAUAUAACUCUCCUAAAAAAGGGACGGGGUUUCGUUUUCUCUCUCUCUUGCUUCUUGCACUCCUGCUCCUGAAGAUGUAAGCAAUAAAGUUUUGCCGCAGAAGA
Long non-coding RNA from Mus musculus (house mouse), 7051 nucleotides. RefSeq annotates it as predicted gene, 26782. The transcript is spliced from 5 exons. The record is from RefSeq and is a predicted model, not a curated record. NCBI's taxonomy places the organism in Eukaryota, Metazoa, Chordata, Mammalia, Rodentia, Muridae.